ACACUGGGACUGAGAUACGGCCCAGACUCCUACGGGAGGCAGCAGUCGAGAAGCUUCGGCAAUGGGGGAAACCCUGACCGAGCGACGUCGCGUGGGUGAUGAAGGUCCUUGGACCGUAAAACCCUGUCAGUUGGGAUGAAAUGCCAUAUGGCCAAUACCCAUGUGGUUUGACAGUACCAUCAGAGGAAGCUCCGGCCAACUCCGUGCCAGCAGCCGGUAACACGGGGGGAGCAAGCGUUGUUCGGAAUCAUUGGGCGUAAAGAGCUCGUAGGCGGCUCCGUAAGUCAGAGGUGAAAGCCCACGGCUCAACCGUGGAUGCGCCUUUGAAACUACGGACCUUGAGUUCGGGAGAGGAAAGCGGAAUUCCAGGAGUAGCGGUGAAAUGCGUAGAUAUCUGGAGGAACACAGUGGCGAAGGCGGCUUUCUGGCCCGAUACUGACGCUGAGGAGCGAAAGCUAGGGGAGCGAACGGGAUUAGAUACCCCGGUAGUCCUAGCCGUAAACGAUGGGCACUAGGUGUGGGAAGUUCGACCCUUUCCGUGCCGCAGUUAACGCAUUAAGUGCCCCGCCUGGGGAGUACGACCGCAAGGUUGAAACUCAAAGGAAUUGACGGGGGCCCGCACAAGCGGUGGAGCAUGUGGUUUAAUUCGAUGAUACGCGAAGAACCUUACCGGGGCUUGACAUGCAGUGGCUAGACAUGGAAACAUGUCCUCCCCUUACGGGGCUGUUGCACAGGUGCUGCAUGGCUGUCGUCAGCUCGUGUCGUGAGAUGUUGGGUUAAGUCCCGCAACGAGCGCAACCCUUGUUCUUAGUUGCCAUCAGGUUAUGCUGGGCACUCUAGGGAGACUGCCGGUGAUAAACCGGAGGAAGGUGGGGAUGACGUCAAGUCAUCAUGGCCCUUACGUCCCGGGCUACACACGUGCUACAAUGGCUGGUACAGAGGGCUGCAAUACCGCGAGGUGGAGCGAAUCCCAAAAAACCAGUCUCAGUUCGGAUUGGAGUCUGCAACUCGACUCCAUGAAGGCGGAAUCGCUAGUAAUCGCGAAUCAGCAGGUCGCGGUGAAUACGUUCCCGGGCCUUGUACACACCGCCCGUCAAGUCAACCGAGUUGAGUGCACCCGAAGUCGCUGAACCAACCCUUCGGGGGGUGAGUACAGUGGCGAACGGGUGAGUAACACGUGGGAAAC
RNAcentral lists this ribosomal RNA (1186 nucleotides) under metagenome. Its description in RNAcentral is "bacterial SSU rRNA". It matches the Rfam family "Bacterial small subunit ribosomal RNA", at positions 310 to 1485 of the family's 1533-position model. The record is from RNAcentral.